RNAcentral lists this long non-coding RNA (138 nucleotides) under Capra hircus (goat). RNAcentral's name for it is "lncRNA (ENSCHIG00010025163.1)". The record is from RNAcentral. Lineage: Eukaryota; Metazoa; Chordata; Mammalia; Artiodactyla; Bovidae.
AAUGCUGUUUUGUAUGUGUAGGUCCUUCUUGUCUUCCUCAUGGAGCAUGAUUAAUACUCGUGUGUGUGUGUGUGUGUGUGUGUGUGUAUGUGUGUGUGUGUAGUUCCUUCUUGUCUUCCUCAUGGAGCAUGGUUAAUG